Molecule: ribosomal RNA, 429 nt
Filed under: Fusobacteriota bacterium
Lineage: Bacteria; Fusobacteriati; Fusobacteriota
Description: Fusobacteria bacterium partial 16S ribosomal RNA
Rfam family: Bacterial small subunit ribosomal RNA
Source: RNAcentral
UGGGGAAUCUUCCGCAAUGGACGAAAGUCUGACGGAGCAACGCCGCGUGAGUGAAGACGGCCUUCGGGUUGUAAAGCCCUGUGAUCCGGGACGAAAGAGCCGGAGGUGAAUAGCCUAAGGAAGCGACGGACCCGGAAAAGCAAGCCACGGCAAACUACGUGCCAGCAGCGGCGGUAAUACGUAGGUGGCAAGCGUUGUCCGGAAUUAUUGGGCGUAAAGCGCGCGCAGGGGGCUUCCUAAGUCCAUCUUAAAAGUGCGGGGCUUAACCCCGUGAUGGGAUGGAAACUGGGGAGCUGGAGUAUCGGAGAGGAAAGUGGAAUUCCUAGUGUAGCGGUGAAAUGCGUAGUGAUUAGGAAGAACACCGGUGGCGAAGGCGACUUUCUGGACGAAAACUGACGCUGGGGCGCGAAAGCGUGGGGAGCAAACAGG